AAUAAAUUCACCAGGUCUUGUUAAACAAAGAUUCGGAUUCAGCAGUCUUAUGGCCUAAGAUUCUGUAUUUCUAAUAAGCUUUCAAGUGAUGCUGCU
Molecule: microRNA precursor, 96 nt
Filed under: Marmota monax (woodchuck)
Lineage: Eukaryota; Metazoa; Chordata; Mammalia; Rodentia; Sciuridae
Source: RNAcentral